UGUACCUGGUGGCGAGCGGCGGACGGGUGAGUAAUGCCUAGGAAUCUGCCUGGUAGUGGGGGAUAACGCUCGGAAACGGACGCUAAUACCGCAUACGUCCUACGGGAGAAAGCAGGGGACCUUCGGGCCUUGCGCUAUCAGAUGAGCCUAGGUCGGAUUAGCUAGUUGGUGAGGUAAUGGCUCACCAAGGCGACGAUCCGUAACUGGUCUGAGAGGAUGAUCAGUCACACUGGAACUGAGACACGGUCCAGACUCCUACGGGAGGCAGCAGUGGGGAAUAUUGGACAAUGGGCGAAAGCCUGAUCCAGCCAUGCCGCGUGUGUGAAGAAGGUCUUCGGAUUGUAAAGCACUUUAAGUUGGGAGGAAGGGCAGUUACCUAAUACGUAAUUGUUUUGACGUUACCGACAGAAUAAGCACCGGCUAACUCUGUGCCAGCAGCCGCGGUAAUACAGAGGGUGCAAGCGUUAAUCGGAAUUACUGGGCGUAAAGCGCGCGUAGGUGGUUCGUUAAGUUGGAUGUGAAAUCCCCGGGCUCAACCUGGGAACUGCAUUCAAAACUGUCGAGCUAGAGUAUGGUAGAGGGUGGUGGAAUUUCCUGUGUAGCGGUGAAAUGCGUAGAUAUAGGAAGGAACACCAGUGGCGAAGGCGACCACCUGGACUGAUACUGACACUGA
Molecule: ribosomal RNA, 673 nt
Filed under: Pseudomonas sp.
Lineage: Bacteria; Pseudomonadati; Pseudomonadota; Gammaproteobacteria; Pseudomonadales; Pseudomonadaceae
Description: bacterial SSU rRNA
Rfam family: Bacterial small subunit ribosomal RNA
Source: RNAcentral